Molecule: ribosomal RNA, 326 nt
Filed under: uncultured bacterium
Lineage: Bacteria
Description: bacterial SSU rRNA
Rfam family: Bacterial small subunit ribosomal RNA
Source: RNAcentral
GAUGAACGCUGGCGGCGUGCCUAACACAUGCAAGUCGAACGAAGCAAUUAAGAUGAGGUUUUCGGAUGGAAUCUUGAUUGACUGAGUGGGCGACGGGUGAAGGUAACGCGUGGAUAACCUGCCUCACACUGGGGGAUAACAGUUAGAAAUGACUGCUAAUACCGCAUAAGCGCACAGUGCCGCAUGGCAGUGUGUGAAAAACUCCGGUGGUGUGAGAUGGAUCCGCGUCUGAUUAGCCAGUUGGCGGGGUAACGGCCCACCAAAGCGACGAUCAGUAGCCGACCUGAGAGGGUGACCGGCCACAUUGGGACUGAGACACGGCCCAA